Molecule: ribosomal RNA, 497 nt
Filed under: uncultured bacterium
Lineage: Bacteria
Description: partial 16S ribosomal RNA
Rfam family: Bacterial small subunit ribosomal RNA
Source: RNAcentral
GAUGAACGCUGGCGGCGUGCCUAAUACAUGCAAGUCGAGCGAACAGAUGAGGAGCUUGCUCCUCUGACGUUAGCGGCGGACGGGUGAGUAACACGUGGAUAACCUACCUAUAAGACUGGGAUAACUUCGGGAAACCGGAGCUAAUACCGGAUAAUAUAUUGAACCGCAUGGUUCAAUAGUGAAAGACGGUUUUGCUGUCACUUAUAGAUGGAUCCGCGCCGCAUUAGCUAGUUGGUAAGGUAACGGCUUACCAAGGCAACGAUGCGUAGCCGACCUGAGAGGGUGAUCGGCCACACUGGAACUGAGACACGGUCCAGACUCCUACGGGAGGCAGCAGUAGGGAAUCUUCCGCAAUGGGCGAAAGCCUGACGGAGCAACGCCGCGUGAGUGGUGAAGGUCUUCGGAUCGUAAAACUCUGUUAUUAGGGAAGAACAAAUGUGUAAGUAACUAUGCACGUCUUGACGGUACCUAACCAGAAAGCCACGGCUAACUACGUG